Molecule: ribosomal RNA, 442 nt
Filed under: uncultured Methanolinea sp.
Lineage: Archaea; Methanobacteriati; Methanobacteriota; Methanomicrobia; Methanomicrobiales; Methanoregulaceae
Description: bacterial SSU rRNA
Rfam family: Archaeal small subunit ribosomal RNA
Source: RNAcentral
GCGGUUUAAUUGGAUUCAACGCCGGAAAUCUUACCGGGACCGACAGCAAUAUGAAGGUCAGGCUGAAGACCUUACCGGAUUAGCUGAGAGGUGGUGCAUGGCCGUCGUCAGUUCGUACUGUGAAGCAUCCUGUUAAGUCAGGCAACGAGCGAGACCCACGUCCACAGUUGCCAGCAUACCCUCCGGGGUGAUGGGUACACUGUGGAGACCGCCGCUGCUAAAGCGGAGGAAGGAAUGGGCAACGGUAGGUCAGUAUGCCCCGAAUCUCCCGGGCUACACGCGGGCUACAAUGGUCAGGACAAUGGGUAUCGACACCGAGAGGUGGAGGCAAUCUCCUAAACCUGUCCUUAGUUCGGAUUGUGGGCUGCAACUCGCCCACAUGAAGCUGGAAUCCGUAGUAAUCGCGUUUCAAAAUAGCGCGGUGAAUAUGUCCCUGCUCCUU